Molecule: ribosomal RNA, 504 nt
Filed under: uncultured bacterium
Lineage: Bacteria
Description: partial 16S ribosomal RNA
Rfam family: Bacterial small subunit ribosomal RNA
Source: RNAcentral
AUUGAACGCUGGCGGCAGGCCUAACACAUGCAAGUCGAACGGUAGCACAGAGAGCUUGCUCUCGGGUGACGAGUGGCGGACGGGUGAGUAAUGUCUGGGAAACUGCCCGAUGGAGGGGGAUAACUACUGGAGACGGUAGCUAAUACCGCAUAACGUCGCAAGACCAAAGUGGGGGACCUUCGGGCCUCACACCAUCGGAUGUGCCCAGAUGGGAUUAGCUAGUAGGUGGGGUAAUGGCUCACCUAGGCGACGAUCCCUAGCUGGUCUGAGAGGAUGACCAGCCACACUGGGACUGAGACACGGUCCAGACUCCUACGGGAGGCAGCAGUGGGGAAUAUUGCACAAUGGGCGCAAGCCUGAUGCAGCCAUGCCGCGUGUAUGAAGAAGGCCUUCGGGUUGUAAAGUACUUUCAGCGGGGAGGAAGGCGGUGAAGUUAAUAACUUCACCGAUUGACGUUACCCGCAGAAGAAGCACCGGCUAACUCCGUGCCAGCCGCCGCCGUAA